CCUACGGGAGGCAGCAGUGGGGAAUAUUGCGCAAUGGGCGAAAGCCUGACGCAGCGACGCCGCGUGAGGGAUGAAGGUCUUCGGAUCGUAAACCUCUGUCAGCAGGGAAGAACGGUCACUGUGCUAAUCAGCAGUGAAUUGACGGUACCUGCAAAGGAAGCACCGGAUAACUCCGUGCCAGCAGCCGCGGUAAUACGGAGGGUGCGAGCGUUAAUCGGAAUUACUGGGCGUAAGGCGCUCGUAGGCGGCAUGUCAAGUCAAGGGUGGAAUGCCCGCGCUCAACGUGGGAACUGCGUUUGAAACUGGAAAACUGGAGUGUGUGAGAGGAUAGUGGAAUUCCAGGUGUAGGAGUGAAAUCCGUAGAUAUCUGGAGGAACAUCAGUGGCGAAGGCGACUAUCUGGCACAUAACUGACGCUGAGGAGCGAAAGCGUGGGUAGCAAACAGGAUUAGAUACCCGGGUAGUC
RNAcentral lists this ribosomal RNA (465 nucleotides) under uncultured bacterium. RNAcentral's name for it is "partial 16S ribosomal RNA". It matches the Rfam family "Bacterial small subunit ribosomal RNA", at positions 338 to 795 of the family's 1533-position model. The record is from RNAcentral.